RNAcentral lists this ribosomal RNA (607 nucleotides) under Trichoderma harzianum. RNAcentral describes it as "eukaryotic LSU rRNA". The stretch from base 229 to 382 matches the Rfam family "5.8S ribosomal RNA". The record is from RNAcentral. Lineage: Eukaryota; Fungi; Ascomycota; Sordariomycetes; Hypocreales; Hypocreaceae.
UUGGUGACCAGCGGAGGGAUCAUUACCGAGUUUACAACUCCCAAACCCAAUGUGAACGUUACCAAACUGUUGCCUCGGCGGGAUCUCUGCCCCGGGUGCGUCGCAGCCCCGGACCAAGGCGCCCGCCGGAGGACCAACCAAAACUCUUUUUGUAUACCCCCUCGCGGGUUUUUUUUUAUAAUCUGAGCCUUCUCGGCGCCUCUCGUAGGCGUUUCGAAAAUGAAUCAAAACUUUCAACAACGGAUCUCUUGGUUCUGGCAUCGAUGAAGAACGCAGCGAAAUGCGAUAAGUAAUGUGAAUUGCAGAAUUCAGUGAAUCAUCGAAUCUUUGAACGCACAUUGCGCCCGCCAGUAUUCUGGCGGGCAUGCCUGUCCGAGCGUCAUUUCAACCCUCGAACCCCUCCGGGGGGUCGGCGUUGGGGAUCGGCCCUCCCUUAGCGGGUGGCCGUCUCCGAAAUACAGUGGCGGUCUCGCCGCAGCCUCUCCUGCGCAGUAGUUUUGCACACUCGCAUCGGGAGCGCGGCGCGUCCACAGCCGUUAAACACCCAACUUCUGAAAUGUUGACCUCGGAUCAGGUAGGAAUACCCGCUGAACUUAAGCAUAUCAAU